RNAcentral lists this ribosomal RNA (2339 nucleotides) under oral metagenome. RNAcentral describes it as "bacterial LSU rRNA". It matches the Rfam family "Bacterial large subunit ribosomal RNA", at positions 14 to 2508 of the family's 2925-position model. The record is from RNAcentral.
AGAGCGUAUGGCGGAUGCCUUGGCUCUCAGAGGCGAUGAAGGACGUGACUAGCUGCGAUAAGCUUCGGGGAAGUGCUAAAUAACUAUUAUAUCCGAAGAUUUCCGAAUGGGGCAACCCAAUACUGUGAAGCAGUAUUAUCCUUUUAGGAAGCAAACCCGGUGAACUGAAACAUCUAAGUAACCGGAGGAAGAGAAAACAAAUGUGAUUCCCUGAGUAGAGGCGAUCGAAACGGGAACAGCCCAAACCGAUAUUGUUUCGGCAAUAUCGGGGUUGUAGGACCUUGACAUGAAGAAAAUAUUUGAAGUGGAAUUGUUUUGGAAAGUUCAACCAUAGAAGGUGACAGUCCUGUACACGUAAAAAUAUUCAUUCUAAAGGUAUCCUGAGUAGCACGGAACUCGAGAAAUUUUGUGUGAAUCUGCCGGGACCAUCCGGUAAGGCUAAAUACUACUGAGAGACCGAUAGUGAACCAGUACCGUGAGGGAAAGGUGAAAAGAACUUCUGAAGAAGAGUGAAAUAGUACCUGAAACCAUACGCUUACAAGCGGUCGGAGCACCAUUAGGUGUGACGGCGUGCCUUUUGCAUAAUGAGCCUACGAGUUACUCCUCCCCGGCGAGGUUAAUGAAUUUAGUUCAGAAGCCGAAGCGAAAGCGAGUCUUAACAGGGCGCCUAGUCGGUGGGGGUAGACGCGAAACCCGGUGAUCUACUCAUGGCCAGGUUGAAGUAUCGGUAAAACGGUAUGGAGGACCGAACCAGUUCACGUUGAAAAGUGUUUGGAUGAGCUGUGAGUAGGGGUGAAAGGCCAAUCAAACCGGGAGAUAUCUCGUACUCCCCGAAAUGCAUUUAGGUGCAGCCUCGUGGUUGAGUCUUAUAGAGGUAGAGCUACUGAUAGGGCUAGAGGGCUUCACCGCCUAUCAAACCCUGACAAACUCCGAAUGCUAUAAGAUAUACACGGGAGUGAGGGCAUGGGUGCUAAGGUCCAUGUCCGAGAGGGAAACAACCCGGACCAUCAGCUAAGGUCCCUAAAUAUAUGCUAAGUUGUUCUAACGAGGUUUGACUGCUAUAACAGCUAGGAUGUUGGCUUGGAAGCAGCCAUUCAUUUAAAGAGUGCGUAACAGCUCACUAGUCGAGCGGUCGAGCAUGGAUGAUAAUCGGGCAUAAGCAUAUUACCGAAGCUAUGGACUAUACUUGUAUAGUGGUAGGGGAGCAUUCAUGUUGCGUAGAAGCUGUGUGGUAAUGCAUGGUGGAGCGGCAUGAAAAGAAAAUGUAGGCAUAAGUAACGAUAAUGCGGGCGAGAAACCCGCACGCCAAUAGACUAAGGUUUCCUGAUCAACGCUAAUCGGAUCGGGGUUAGUCGGGACCUAAGGCGAACCCGAAAGGGGUAGUCGAUGGACAACAGGUUAAUAUUCCUGUACUGGCAUUUACUGCGACGGGGUGACGAAAUUGUGACAGGUCUGCGUACUGACUGAAUAGUACGUUGAAGGGUGUAGAUAUACGAACGGUAGGCAAAUCCGCCGAUUGUGUCGAACCUGAUAGUACCGCGAGUCUUCGGACAAGCGGAUAUGACCGUAACCAUAUUUCCAAGAAAAACCUCUAAGCUUCAGGUAAUUGCCGCCCGUACCGCAAACCGACACAGGUAGUCAAGUAGAGAAUACUGAGGCGCUCGAGUGAUUCAUGGCUAAGGAACUAGGCAAAAUAGCCCUGUAACUUCGGGAGAAAGGGCGCUCACAUUUAGUGAGCCGCAGUGAAAAGAUUCUAAGCCCCGGUAAACGGCGGCCGUAACUAUAACGGUCCUAAGGUAGCGAAAUUCCUUGUCGGGUAAGUUCCGACCUGCACGAAUGGUGCAACGAUCAGAAUACUGUCUCGGCCAUGAGCUCGGUGAAAUUGUAGUAUCGGUGAAGAUGCCGAUUACCCGCAACGGGACGGAAAGACCCCGUGAACCUUCACUACAACUUAACAUUGAUCUUGGGUAUGUAAUGUGUAGGAUAGGUCGGAGACUUCGAUCCUGCUUCGCCAGGAGUAGGUUAGUCACCCUUGAAAUACGACCCUUUACAUAUCCGUGGUCUAAUCUGCAUUUGCGGAGACAUUGUUUGGUGGGUAGUUUGACUGGGGUGGUCUCCUCCGAAAAAGUAACGGAGGAUUCUAAAGGUACCCUCAUGACGAUUGGUAACCGUCAGCAGAGUGCAAUGGCACAAGGGUGCUUGACUGUGAGACAGACACGUCGAACAGGUACGAAAGUAGAGCAUAGUGAUCCGGCGAUUCCGCAUGGAAGGGUCGUCGCUCAAAGGAUAAAAGGUACUCCGGGGAUAACAGGCUUAUCACUCCCAAGAGCUCACAUCGA